This 495-nucleotide ribosomal RNA is filed under the name uncultured bacterium. RNAcentral's name for it is "bacterial SSU rRNA". It matches the Rfam family "Bacterial small subunit ribosomal RNA", at positions 1 to 478 of the family's 1533-position model. The record is from RNAcentral.
GAUUAGAGUUUGAUCCUGGCUCAGAGCGAACGCUGGCGGCGUGCUUAACACAUGCAAGUCGAACGUGAAAUGUAGCAAUACAGAGUAAAGUGGCGUACGGGUGAGUAACACGUAGGUAAUCUACCUUAGAGUUCGGAAUAACCUGCCGAAAGGCGGGCUAAUACUGGAUAGAGCGAUGGGAAUCAUAAUGAUUCUUUCGGGAAAGGGAGCCUGAUAAGGGCCCUCGCUUUAAGAUGAGCCUGCGUCUGAUUAGCUAGUUGGUGAGGUAACGGCUCACCAAGGCGAUGAUCAGUAGCUGGUCUGAGAGGAUGAUCAGCCACACUGGAACUGAAACACGGUCCAGACUCCUACGGGAGGCAGCAGUGGGGAAUCUUGCGCAAUGGACGAAAGUCUGACGCAGCCACGCCGCGUGAGUGAAGAAGGCCUUCGGGUUGUAAAGCUCUGUCGGGCGGGACGAAAAUACGGUGGGUUAAGAGCUAAUCGUACUGACGGUAC